RNAcentral lists this long non-coding RNA (2043 nucleotides) under Citrus x clementina. Its description in RNAcentral is "Citrus clementina (C. clementina) long non-coding RNA (CCLE_LNC002786)". Lineage: Eukaryota; Viridiplantae; Streptophyta; Magnoliopsida; Sapindales; Rutaceae. The record is from RNAcentral.
UAAUCAUAAUAAUUUUUUAAUUGAUGACAAAAUAGAUAUUUUAUAGUUUGUGAGAGGGGGCAAAAUGAUCAAUCUUGGGAAUGGGGGAUUGAUUCCCACCACCUUCCUUAGGAAUCAAUCUUCCAUUCCUCAUUCCUAAUUUGGGUGGUCCCCAUAGUUCUUAUUCGGAUCCCAGCCUCUAUUUUGUGAAGUAAACAUCAUUAAUGAUUUCGAUUUCGGAUUCCGAUUCUCCAAUCCAAGAAGUAAAGGCACCAUUAUUGUUAAUUGGUUCAAACACACAAAGAGAAUGUACCAUGUAGCUAGGCGUCAAGGUUGUGUGGCACAAGGUUGUGUGGCACAAGUAGGGAUGGCAAUUCAACCCGCACCCGGCCCGGACCCGGAUGAAACCCGGAUUUUCCAGUCCGGGUUUAACCCGUACCGGAUUAAAUAAAAUCCGGAUCCGGAUGUCAUUUUAAAAACCCGCAUGUACCCGGGUCCGGUUCCGGGUUUAAGUAAACCCGUACAUCCGGAACCCGGACCCGGAUAUAUAUUAAUUUUAAAAAAUUAUUUUUAAUAUAAAUAGAAAGCAAAAAAAACCCAAAUGGUGCCCUAGAAGCUCAUUACACUUUCCCAGCCGCACAAACAUUUCCUCUCUUAUUCCCUCUUCAGCUCAUCUUCAUCUUCAUCAAAUCAUCGUCGCAUCACUUGCCCAUCUUCGCGGCUGUUCAACUUCAACAUCAUCAUCAUCAUCAUCAUCAGCCGUCGUUUCCUUUCUUUUUCUGCGGCGACCGGUAACUAGCUGUGAUACGGGUUGAACGCCGCCUUUGCCAAUCGCAACCGCGGCUGUGUUCAUCAUCAUCAACCGCCGUCACUUUCAAGAACGAUACUCGAAAAUAUUUUGAUGGGAAUCUUGUUUUUGGUCAUUUUAGUAACAGUGUGUGCAAGUGCGAGUGAGAGAGAGAGAGAACGUGGCUUACUCGAUGCCACUUAUCAUGCUUUCAUCUUUUUUCAUCCAGUGCGGGGUCUGUCUUUGUUGGCUUUUUGGAAAACUUGUUGCUUUUAAUGGUGUAUUACUUCUUUUGAAUAUCCAAUCAAUGUAAACUUAUUUACAUUACCCCUCCAGUUUUCCCAUCACCAUUAAAAGUGCUUUGGUUGCUCCUUGACUGUGCUUUGGUUGCUCCUUGACUCCUGACUUCCUGCUCGCAACAAAAGCUAGUUCUUUAGCUCUCUUUACUAAUUGAACGAGUCACCACAUUGGGUUGCUGAUUCUGGGCAGCCAAACAAAAUUGUUGUUUUUGUUAAUUAGUUUCCAGAUGAAAUAAUUUUUCUUUGAUUUGCUGAAAUCCUGGAUAUGUAUUUCUAUUUGAUUUUUUUAGUCGAAUUUAGUUUUUUUUUUUAAAUUGGAUUCAUCAAUCCGGGUUGGAAACCCGCAGUCCGGAAACCCGGAUUUUUCCGGGUUGAACCCGUACCGGACCCGGAGUGGAAAAAUGCGGGUUUAUUUCCGGGUCCGGUACAGAAAAUAUUCGUCCGGGUCCGGAUCCAGAAUGACUAAACCCGGACCCGGACCCGGAUUUUGCCAUCCCUAGGCACAAGUAACCUUUUUCUUUUCUUUUUAUUUUUUUUUGUUUUCCUUAACGGAUCAGAAGAAAUCGGUGCCUUUGAGAUACUACAAUGUAAAUAAGUACUUGUGGUUCAUUAAAUCUGUAACACUCGGUACCCUAAGGUUUCUUUUGAAAAAGGGCUUUUCUCACUGAUCACCAAUAUCCAAGUAAGUUUGUUUCAUUUCAGAAGGUGCAAAGUUUCAAACUUUUUGUAUUGGGAUGUAACAAACUUUGGCCUUAUAUGCCUGCUGUGACGUUAGACUGUUCAUUUUGAUUGUUUCAUACCUUUCACUUGCGCGCACUGUAGCACUGUAUUAUUCAUCAUUUUAGCUGUUUAAAUGAAAUUUUAUUUUUGUCAAAAAUAAAAUGACACCAUAAAAAUUUAGAAAAAUAAUCAUGUAGAUCCCAAAUUUUUAAUAAAGAAUACCAAUAUUCCCCUUGACUACAAUACCCUUAGUAGGUG